This 1413-nucleotide long non-coding RNA is filed under the name Salmo salar (Atlantic salmon). RNAcentral's name for it is "lncRNA (ENSSSAG00000095763.1)". Lineage: Eukaryota; Metazoa; Chordata; Actinopteri; Salmoniformes; Salmonidae. The record is from RNAcentral.
CCAGUCACCCAUCAUACCCACUCUACUAUAUCUGGUCUAGGACAUCACCCAUCAUACCCACUCUACUAUAUCUGGUCUGGGACAUCACCCAUCAUACCCAUUCUACUAUUUCAGGUCAAGGGCAUCACCCAUCAUACCCACUCUACUAUAUCUGGUCUAGGACAUCACCCAUCAUACCCACUCUACUAUAUCUGGUCUGGGACAUCACCCCAGUCACCCAUCAUACCCACUCUACUAUAUCAGGUCUAGGACAUCACCCCAGUCACCCAUCAUACCCACUCUACUAUAUCUGGUCUAGGACAUCACCCAUUAUACCCACUCUACUAUACCUGGUCUAGGACAUCACCCAUCAUACCCACUCUACUAUAUCAGGUCUAGGACAUCACCCAUCAUACCCACUCUACUAUAUCUGGUCUAGGACAUCACCCAUCAUACCCACUCUAGUAUACCUGGUCUAGGACAUCACCCAUCAUACCCACUCUACUAUAUCAGGUCUAGAACAUCACCCCAGUCACCCAUCAUACCCACCCUACUAUAUCAGGUCUAGGACAUCACCCAUCAUACCCACUCUACUAUAUCUGGUCUAGGACAUCACCCCAGUCACCCAUCAUACCCACUCUACUAUAUCUGGUCUAGGACAUCACCCAUCAUACCCACCCUACUAUAUCAGGUCUAGGACAUCACCCAUCAUACCCACUCUACUAUAUCUGGUCUAGGGCAUCACCCCAGUCACCCAUCAUACCCACUCUACUAUAUCUGGUCUAGGACAUCACCCAUUAUACCCACUCUACUAUAUCAGGUCUAGGACAUCACCCCAGUCACCCAUCAUACCCACUCUACUAUAUCUGGUCUAGGACAUCACCCAUUAUACCCACUCUACUAUACCUGGUCUAGGACAUCACCCAAGUCACCCAUCAUACCGACCCUACUAUAUCAGGUCUAGGACAUCACCCCAGUCACCCAUCAUACCCACUCUACUACAUCUGGUCUAGGACAUCACCCAUCAUACCCACUCUACUAUAUCAGGUCUAGGACAUCACCCAUCAUACCCACUCUACUACAUCUGGUCUAGGACAUCACCCAUCAUACCCACUCUACUACAUCUGGUCUAGGACAUCACCCAUCAUACCCACUCUACUAUACCUGGUCUAGGACAUCACCCAUCAUACCCACUCUACUAUAUCAGGUCUAGGACAUCACCCAUUAUACCCACUCUACUAUACCUGGUCUAGGACAUCACCCAUCAUACCCACUCUACUAUAUCAGGUCUAGGACAUCACCCAUCAUACCCACUCUACUAUAUCUGGUCUAGGACAUCACCCCAGUCACCCAUCAUACCCACUCUACUAUAUCUGGUCUAGGACAUCACCCAUAAUACCCACUCUACUAUAUCUGGUCUGGGACAUCACCCAU